This 447-nucleotide ribosomal RNA is filed under the name uncultured bacterium. RNAcentral's name for it is "bacterial SSU rRNA". It matches the Rfam family "Bacterial small subunit ribosomal RNA", at positions 355 to 825 of the family's 1533-position model. The record is from RNAcentral.
UCGGGAAUUUUGGGCAAUGGGCGAAAGCCUGACCCAGCAACGCCGCGUGAAGGAUGAAGUAUUUCGGUAUGUAAACUUCGUAAGAAUAGGAAGAGUAAAUGACGGUACUAUUUGUAAGGUCCGGCUAACUACGUGCCAGCAGCCGCGGUAAUACGUAGGGACCAAGCGUUGUUCGGAUUUACUGGGCGUAAAGGGCGCGUAGGCGGUUUGUCAAGUCAGUUGUGAAAUCUCCGAGCUUAACUCGGAACGGUCAACUGAUACUGUCAAACUAGAGUACAGAAGGGGCAAUCGGAAUUCUUGGUGUAGCGGUGAAAUGCGUAGAUAUCAAGAGGAACACCUGAGGCGAAGGCGGGUUGCUGGGCUGAUACUGACGCUGAAGCGCGAAAGCUAGGGUAGCAAACGGGAUUAGAUACCCCCGUAGUCCCUGAGCGGGCUGGCAAGGCGCAU